AGUUAAUGAACUUGUAUAAGUUUAUAUUUUGAAAAUAUAAUAAAGAGAUCGAAAUCUCUAUUAACUU
Molecule: transfer RNA, 67 nt
Filed under: Lampyris noctiluca
Lineage: Eukaryota; Metazoa; Arthropoda; Insecta; Coleoptera; Lampyridae
Description: tRNA-Ser
Source: RNAcentral